ACCAAACAGCUAGCUUAACCCACCAAAACACAAGAUUACGAUUUAAAUAAUUUUACAAAAACUUAAAGGAAAAAAUAAAUCAUUUGACCACCCCAGUACGGGCGACAGAAAAGGAAUAAUUAAGCUAUAGACAAA
RNAcentral lists this ribosomal RNA (135 nucleotides) under Sauvagella robusta. RNAcentral's name for it is "partial 16S ribosomal RNA". Lineage: Eukaryota; Metazoa; Chordata; Actinopteri; Clupeiformes; Clupeidae. The record is from RNAcentral.